Molecule: ribosomal RNA, 465 nt
Filed under: uncultured bacterium
Lineage: Bacteria
Description: partial 16S ribosomal RNA
Rfam family: Bacterial small subunit ribosomal RNA
Source: RNAcentral
GACGAACGCUGGCGGCGUGCUUAACACAUGCUAGUCGAACGGAAAGGCCCUGCUUGCAGGGUACUCGAGUGGCGAACGGGUGAGUAACACGUGGGUGAUCUGCCCUGCACUUCGGGAUAAGCCUGGGAAACUGGGUCUAAUACCGGAUAGGAGCCAUUUUUAGUGUGAUGGUUGGAAAGUUUUUUCGGUGUAGGAUGAGCUCGCGGCCUAUCAGCUUGUUGGUGGGGUAAUGGCCUACCAAGGCGGCGACGGGUAGCCGGCCUGAGAGGGUGGACGGCCACAUUGGGACUGAGAUACGGCCCAGACUCCUACGGGAGGCAGCAGUGGGGAAUAUUGCACAAUGGGCGCAAGCCUGAUGCAGCGACGCCGCGUGGGGGAUGACGGCCUUCGGGUUGUAAACUCCUUUCGCUAGGGACGAAGCUUUUUGUGACGGUACCUAGAUAAGAAGCACCGGCUAACUACGUG